UACGUAGGUGACAAGCGUUGUCCGGAUUUAUUGGGCGUAAAGAGCUCGUAGGCGGCUUGUCGCGUCGAAUGUGAAAUCUCAGGGCUCAACUCUGACAUUGCAUUCGAUACGGGCAGGCUCGAGUUCGGUAGGGGAGACUGGAAUUCCUGGUGUAGCGGUGAAAUGCGCAGAUAUCAGGAGGAACACCGGUGGCGAAGGCGGGUCUCUGGGCCGAUACUGACGCUGAGGAGCGAAAGCGUGGGGAGCGAACAGG
RNAcentral lists this ribosomal RNA (253 nucleotides) under uncultured bacterium. RNAcentral describes it as "partial 16S ribosomal RNA". It matches the Rfam family "Bacterial small subunit ribosomal RNA", at positions 524 to 776 of the family's 1533-position model. The record is from RNAcentral.